This 109-nucleotide microRNA precursor is filed under the name Microtus ochrogaster (prairie vole). RNAcentral's name for it is "microRNA 423 (ENSMOCG00000008113.1)". The stretch from base 17 to 97 matches the Rfam family "mir-423 microRNA precursor family". Lineage: Eukaryota; Metazoa; Chordata; Mammalia; Rodentia; Cricetidae. The record is from RNAcentral.
ACUUGUGAGGAAAUAAAGGAAGUUAGGCUGAGGGGCAGAGAGCGAGACUUUUCUAUUUCCCAAAAGCUCGGUCUGAGGCCCCUCAGUCUUGCUUCCUACCCCGCGCUUG